Long non-coding RNA from Falco peregrinus (peregrine falcon), 2628 nucleotides. RefSeq lists it as uncharacterized. NCBI's taxonomy places the organism in Eukaryota, Metazoa, Chordata, Aves, Falconiformes, Falconidae. The transcript is spliced from 3 exons. The record is from RefSeq and is a predicted model, not a curated record.
UUGGUGUUAGCUAUAUCCAACCUAUUGGUUGCAGAUGGUAAUAUGUGCUAGACUUUCCAUCCCUGACAUAGCCUGUGCCAGUGCUUAGCUUUCCUACUCGUUAGGUUUUCUUAAUAUCUAAUGGAUUCCUUUUUUUCAAUUUAAGACAAUCUUUAUUCAGCUCAUUGGGCAUGGAGAAUAUAUCUGUAUUUAUUUAUGAAAAUUUCUCUUUAAGUUUAAAGUUUUCUAGAAAAAACAGCUCCAAUUCCUUUGAUUGUUUUUGUACUGGUUUUUGCUGGGAUAGAGUUAAAUUUCGUCAUAGUAGCUUGUAUGGGGCUGUCUGUGUUUUGGAUUUGUGCUGACAAUAGUGUUGAUAACGCAGGGGUGUUUUAGUUAUUGCUGAGCAGCGCUGACACAGAGCCCAGGGCUUUUCUGCUCCUCACCCCACCAGCGAGCAGGCUGGGGGGGCACAAGGAGCUGGGAGGGGACACAGCUGGGACAGCUGACCCCAACUGACCACAGGGAUAUUCCACACCAUAUGACAUCGUGCUCAGCAAUAAAACUAGGGAGGAGGUUGGGCAGAGCCUGGGGAGUUGCUGCUCAGGGACUGGCUGAGCAUCACUCGAUGUCAGCAUUGGUGUCCUGCCCCACAAAAUAUAGAAUCACAGAAUGGUCAGGGUUGGAAGGGAUCUCUGGAGAUCACCUAGCCCAACCCCUGCUCGAGCAGGCUCCCCCAGAGCAGGCUGCACAGAGCCACAUCCAGACUUGCUUUCAGGGUCUGGGAAACCAGAGGACUGGCCUUGGCAGUGAAGGCUGAAGCAAAGGUGGCAUUCAGUAACUCCACCUUCUCUGUGUCCUUUGUUACCAUGUGAAAGCUGGUGAAAUGCUUGGAAGGUCCAUCGUCUGGGAAUUAACUGAACUGUGAUGCAUGCGUUGUUCUCAAGUGAGGGUGGAACAGUGGGGUUUGCUCUUCAACAAUUCAACAACGUGGGCACCAGAAGUGGGAUUCAGCUGACUGAAAUAAGUCAUCUACAUCUGCACUGUAGUAGGGUAAAUCCUUUGGGGUGAGAUGACUUGUGCUCCGUGGACUAGAAUGAGAUCAACACUGAUGGUAAAGAAACGCUGCAGUCAGAGGACCUGUGCCAAUAUCACAGAGAUUUCCAAAUUAGUUAACUCACUUGUGUCCUUAACAGUCAUGCUUGUGCCCAUAAAUAGAGGUGUCACUCCUCUCAUAUAGGUUCAUGGUUGGACAUGUAUCUUUUUGUAUUUUCUACAUUUCUCUACCCUGGGAAUAAGCACCUUUUGUUUCCAGUUUAAUUACAUCUCACCCACAGGGGUCUGCUGUUAAUCAGCUGCAUAAUUUUCCAAGUACCUUAUUGAGAUAUUGAUACACAUAACCCUGGAGGUUAAAAAAGCUUGGAAUGAGUUGACAGUAGUCUUGGAAAACCUUCACUUCUCUACAUUGAUCUGGAGUGGCUCUGUUGACUUGAGAAGCUGUUUUCUCUGAUUUCACUCUGGUGUAAUUUAGGGCAGAAUUUGAUCCUGUGUAAAUAGUGUUUAUUGAAAGACAGAAAGUAUCACAUUGUACUAAUGUACUGUAUGUACCAUGAUUUGUUAAUCACCUGUUUGACUUCAAGCUGUAUUAAAAGCAAGGUCUUCAAGUAAAAAAAACGUGACAGUAACUACAUAGAAGUUGACCUUUUAUUUAUUUGCCUGCAAUUUCUCUACAUUGUAUCCCCAAGGAGGCUCUCAAAGCACUUCACAAACAUUUCCUGAGCCUUACAGACUGCAAGAGAGGUAAGAAUUCAUACAGAUGAAGAUAAAAUACCUUUUUCAAAAGAAUCUCACACGCAAGUUGUGGUCCAGUGCAGGGAAUACUGAGCUGAAUUUUAUACCCGUGUCAAUUAUAAAGGCAAACAAGACAUUGAUAAUAGUCUUUGUUGGCAUUAAUUUUAUGAUUUAUUAUCCCCUUAUGGAGUUCCAGAAGCACAAACAUAUUGACAUUUUAAAAUGGUAGGACCUUUGGGUAUAUUUCAGAGUUCUCAGCUUCUGCUUUAAGAAGGCCUGUUUUGGAAGAGAAUAAUUUUGUGGUUUUACUUUUGAUUGUCUAGCUGCAUAGCGUUAGGUAUUUGAUGUAGGUGUUUGGUAAAGAACUACACUCCCAGUAGUGUCAGUGGACAAACUGUUGUCUUAGGCAGUUUCAAUCGGCUUCUUAACUCUGCAGAGCCUAAUGGUAGAUGUUGUGAUUCUCCCUCUGAGUUUCACAUGUUUAUACACUGCUUUUCACUCUUAUCUGAAAAAUAAAUCUGUCCCUUCUGUUGUGGAACAAAGUAUAAUUAGAUUAUACUUAAUGUGAUGUUUCCUGUUACUUAACUUGAUCUUAUAUAGAUUGAUAUUUCCUUGCACUCAUUAUAAUGAUAUGGUUGUGAUUCAUGGAAAAUUAUUUUUGGUACAAAAAGGUUAGGGAAAAGGCUAAUGGGAAAAAAAGGAAGCUAUUUUCAAGUAAUUAGGAGCAUUUAUCAGCUUGAUGUUUAUUACUAUUUUUUAUGCACUAUGUUUUUGUUUCCUGUUCUAGGACAAUUCCACCCAGUGAAUCAUGGAUGGCAUUUUUAUGGCAUCAUAAAUAAAAAUUUCCUUUGACAUGUUGUC